UUAAUUGAAGCCAAAAAGAGGCUUAUCAUUGUUAAUGAUAUAACUGAAAAUUAUAUUCCAAUUAAA
RNAcentral lists this transfer RNA (66 nucleotides) under Loxocera sinica. RNAcentral's name for it is "tRNA-Asn". The record is from RNAcentral. Lineage: Eukaryota; Metazoa; Arthropoda; Insecta; Diptera; Psilidae.